Molecule: non-coding RNA, 97 nt
Organism: Acanthosepion pharaonis
Lineage: Eukaryota; Metazoa; Mollusca; Cephalopoda; Sepiida; Sepiidae
Source: the annotation of a GenBank genome assembly
GUUAAAACACCAGUUCUCAUACAAUCACUGAAGGUAAGCAACGUUGAGCUUGGUCAGUACCAAGAUGAGUGACAGCUUGAAAAUUCCAUGUGUUGUA